Molecule: long non-coding RNA, 560 nt
Organism: Polistes canadensis
Lineage: Eukaryota; Metazoa; Arthropoda; Insecta; Hymenoptera; Vespidae
Exons: 4
Source: RefSeq, a predicted model, not a curated record
UGCUCUCGAAUGUACCUCGUCUGAAAAAGUAACUAAAUUCCAAUAAGGAUUGUUUAUCUAUAUUACUCAAAUUACCAUUAUAUUUAUAUAACGGUUUGCACUGAGGUAAUUUAGAGCAGACUUGAAUUAAUCGUCUAAGGUAUUCCUCGAGGUGUUUUCUACGUUGUCGUGCGACCACUUCGUUUCUUGGAAAGAAAAUACGAGGAGGAAAACGUAUUCCUGCAACCUGUUAAAACAAAUUCAUAUACGAGAUACCUUACAACCGUACUUCUUACUCAUCGAAAUAUACAACUCUCGAAAAGUUCUAUAUCUUCUCAACAACGUCCAAUUGUCAUCUUGUGCUACAAUUCUAACUUCGUAUUCGUAAUGACUAUUGUCUACAAUUUAUUAUAAAAUCAACAAGAAAAAUGCUUACGGUUAGAUAGACCGUAGAGUAACCACGUCCGGAAGAUAUUCUGGAGACCAUCGAUUCGGAGGGAAAAGAAUUCGGAUAUUUUAGAACGGGAAUAAACAGGAAAAUGCUUACGUGAUGAUUGACGAGUUCUCUGACAGCAUCAACA